AGUGAACGCUGGCGGUAGGCCUAACACAUGCAAGUCGAACGGCAGCACCGUAAGAGCUUGCUCUUACGGGUGGCGAGUGGCGGACGGGUGACGAAUACAUCGGAAUCUACUUUUUCGUGGGGGAUAACGUAGGGAAACUUACGCUACUACCGCAUACGACCUACCGGUGAAAUCAUGGGAUCUUCGGACCUUGCGCGAUUGAAUGAGCCGAUGUCGGAUUAGCUAGUUGGCUGGGUAAAGGCCCACCAAGGCGACGAUCCGUAGCUGGUCUGAGAGGAUGAUCAGCCACACUGGAACUGGGACACGGUCCAGGCUCCUACGGGAGGGAGCAGUGGGGAAUAUUGGACAAUGGGCGCAAGCCUGAUCCAGCCAUACCGCGUGGGUGAAGAAGGCCUUCGGGUUGUAAAGCCCUUUUGUUGGGAAAGAAAAGCAGCAGGUUAAUACCCCGCUGUUCUGACGGUACCCAAAGAAUAAGCACCGGCUAACUUCGUG
RNAcentral lists this ribosomal RNA (492 nucleotides) under uncultured bacterium. RNAcentral describes it as "partial 16S ribosomal RNA". It matches the Rfam family "Bacterial small subunit ribosomal RNA", at positions 29 to 507 of the family's 1533-position model. The record is from RNAcentral.